GGAGCCCUCUGAGUGUAAGCUGCCGUGUAGAGGAGAUUCCGUUUCUGGGGAUUCAGGAGGAUUGACCUGCCCAAGAAAUCAAAGAUGGUAUUUAGAACUUUAAAAAAAAAAAAAAAAAAGUUUUGUCCCAUGGAAAGAGGAUUACCUAGAAAGGACUGAAGAGGAUUACCAUUCAAGUAUAUCCAGGAAAGCCUGUUUUACACUGCAGAGUUCUCUGGCUGUAAGUCCUCGGCUUCAUGGGAAGGAAUGGAGGGAAAAAAACCUUACAUCCCCUUGCUACAAGCCCAUGGCUCCUACACCUUCAAGAGAAGGGAAAGUGGAGAGGGAGGUGCUGCUCUCUUCUCCCUGGGAUCCAGUGAUAAGAUGCAUGGGAGUGGUUUGAAGCUGCACCAGGGGAGGCUGGACAUUAGAAAGCAUUUCUUUGGAGAGAGGGUGGUCAAAAACUGGAACAGUGUUCUCUUCCUAGAGAGGUGGUCCAUGCCCCAAGCUGCCAGUUUUAAGAGGCAUUUUGGACAAUUGCCUUAAUACCAGGCUUUAACUUGGCCAGCCCUGAACUGGAUGUUGGAUUAGAUGCUGACUGUAAGACCACUCCAACUGAAAUGAUUUUAUUUUAUUAACAUUUGUGUCAGCAAAACUGGUGCAACAUCAAUAUCACAAGCACAAAAAGACUUCUGUCAAGUUGACUUUGUUUUUCUGAUGCACCAAUGUAAGUAUGUCAAUAUGAACUGCCAGUGUAUCCUAUGCCUAGCCUACAGAAUUGUGCUUGGACAGCUACAGGGGCAGCAGCUCUGUAAGACAGGCAACGUUUGGCAUCAGUGACAAGCUGGUGCAGGCAAACAGGUCUGGUGCCUGCUCUCUUGGCAUGGUUUUUCCACAGGACCCCAUACCCCAGUAAAGUCAGGGAUGCUGAGGAGCCGAUUCCCAACUCCUGUGGAAGUUGUGCUUUCUCUGUGUUUACUUUAUAUUCUUUCCAUCCCUGACAGACAGGACACCAAUGCAAGCACUAGUUUCAAUGUCUCUCUCAGGUGUACAAGUGACACAAAUGGUUGCAAUACCAGCCACGCUGGUUCUACUCUCUAC
Molecule: non-coding RNA, 1080 nt
Organism: Zonotrichia albicollis (white-throated sparrow)
Lineage: Eukaryota; Metazoa; Chordata; Aves; Passeriformes; Passerellidae
Source: RefSeq, a predicted model, not a curated record